CGGCCUUCCAAAGUGCUGGGAUUACAGGCGUGAGCCACCUCGCGCCCGGCCAAAUGAAAUAAAAUGUUAAAGUAAAUUCAGGACUACCCCUCCUCCACGUCUUCUGUCCCCUUUGGGUGCCUAGCGCCCCGCGGCCCCUCGAGCCCCUUCAGUGACCAAGAUGCAGAAAUCAGGACGCCAUUGCACCGCCCCAGGUGCCCGCCCCUAGCUGGCUCUGCCUGGGCCCGAGGGAAGGUGAGGUCGGGGGCUGGGCCGGGGCGUGGCAGCGGGGGUGUGUGUCCGCCUGGCUUGGUGCCUCCGGUGGCCCGGCAGCACCGUCCCACCUCUGCCACCCUCCGAUGGGGCCGUUACCUGUGUGCCUGCCAGUCAUGCUUCUCCUGCUGCUGCUGUCGCUGCUGCUGCUGCUGCUUGGACCUGGCCCCGGUCCGGUGAGGCCUCCAGGACAUUACAUGUGCACCGGCGUGGGAUCCUGGAACUGGCAGGAACUGUGGGUUGUGUUGGUCCCCGAACCCCCAUCGCCUAUAUGAAAUAUGGUUGCUUUUGUGGCUUGGGAGGCCAUGGCCAGCCCCGCGAUGCCAUUGACUGGUGAGUGCAUGCCUGGGACCAGGCUACAAAAGCCCUCACACUCUGGGGUAGUCAAGGCUUAUGAGGAAGUACCCAAAACCGAAGCUGGGGUUUGGUCCCAGGAGAUCCCAGUGUGCAGAACUACUUUGCAGGCAGGCAGAGGCCUCUUGGAUAACAUGGCCAAUGAGGCCAGAUCUUGGUACCAGCUGCCCCUUACCCCGGCCAUGUGCUGAUUACGUUGCCUUAAAAAA
Long non-coding RNA from Nomascus leucogenys (northern white-cheeked gibbon), 815 nucleotides. RefSeq lists it as uncharacterized. The transcript is spliced from 3 exons. NCBI's taxonomy places the organism in Eukaryota, Metazoa, Chordata, Mammalia, Primates, Hylobatidae. The record is from RefSeq and is a predicted model, not a curated record.